AGGGCGCGGCAGCCAAUCAGCGCGCGGCUUCUAUAGGGCUUGAGUUAUUAGACGCUGAUCUCAAAACAUCCUUCAGCAGACACCAAGGAGAAGGCCAAGAGAUGAGGGGAGCCAUUUUUCUGCAAUGGAAUUAAAUGGCCAAAGCAGUAAACAGCCCUCAGCGAAGCCGCCUUUUUGCCAACCCAACCCUGGAAAGUUUGCAGAAGUGGAAGGAGCAGAAAAUGCCCCGAGAGUGUAACUUCAAAAACAAGGUUUCUGGCCGGCACCCCCUGGGUGGGCAGCCCUCCUUGCUUUCGACUAAAGGAGCAGGCCCAGCUUGAAUCUGACAGUCCUCCCACUAAGUGCUGCCUAAGUGCCAGAGUCCUCUCAGGGCUAUGCUGAGGCAGGUAAGUAGGCCCCACCUCCCCUGUCCCUGGCCUCUGCUGAUGUCCCCUCCUUGCGAAUUGGUGUCCUCUGGUCCCUCUCCUGCCCUCCAUUGGAGCCCUACCAGGCCUGGAGGGCUUCUGGCUGUCUGCACUGGUCCCGGCCAGCUGCUAUCCUGGAAGUGGUGGACUGUGAGCCCCUGGCGUGCAGGAGCACAACUGCCUCUCAAUAAACGCAUUUCAAAGGAGAA
Long non-coding RNA from Ochotona princeps (American pika), 613 nucleotides. RefSeq lists it as uncharacterized. NCBI's taxonomy places the organism in Eukaryota, Metazoa, Chordata, Mammalia, Lagomorpha, Ochotonidae. The transcript is spliced from 4 exons. The record is from RefSeq and is a predicted model, not a curated record.